GCCUCCACCCGGGCUCCGGAGGCCAAUCCGACGUCUCCCCGUCCAGGUGUGUUUUCGGGAGCGGUCUGGGUACCAUCUUCGGUUCUGACUCCAGGAUCCUGGCGUGUUGUGAAUAGCAGGUUUUGAAACCGGUUCUGCAGGAGGUGAGUGUGUGGGGCUGUGCCGAGAUGAAGACAGAGGAUCAGCCUCAUGGCUGGAAGCAGUGCUGAGCUUGCUGCCUGGAAGACGCCACACACCCCCGGGACCAGGACCGUGGCGCAGAGACUGUGCUGCUGAGGCGGCCUAGAGAGUUUCAGAUAUUUAAGGAUUCCGUGCAUUUAGAGGGGACAUAUUUCCUGGAUAAGUGGAAAAUUGUGCAGCUGUCUUCUGGAAAACCUUCACUUUAAUUAGCUUUAUAGUGAAACCUUUCAUUUCGAAGUCUGGACCUUCUUUCUUCAGCUUGCCGUAAUCGACGUUCACGGAGUGGAACCUGUAUUGAUUAUUGGGACCCUGUGUGUUCCGGGUUUCUGGAUUGAAUAAAUAUCAGGUGCAAGGCCUACAGGAGCCCCAGUACCUCUAGCUCCACUAAAUACAUAGGGGGGAUCAGGCUUGGCUGCUUCUUGGAACAUUGUCAAAGAUCUGGCAGAACGUGGUGGCAGCGGACACCUCGGAUCUAGAAGGAGAGAAGAACGAAUCUGCAAGGCACAGGUGCCGAGAGAAUAGAUCUUAAGCCCUCUUGCUACACACGGAAAAGGUAACUGUGUGAAGUGACAGAUGCAUAAAAAUUAACUUAAUUGCGAUCAUUUUAGUGUCUGCAUAUAUCAAAUCGUGUCGCACACUUUGAGUGUAUACAGUUUUAUCUGUCCGUUAUAAUUAAAGCUGGGAAAAAUUAAAAAUACAGUGUCAGACCCAUCGAUUGAUGGUUCUGUUGAGUUGAACUAUAUCCUUACUGAUUUUCUGUCUACUGGAUCUGUCAGUUACUAAUAGAGGGAGUAUUGAAAUCCUUCACGUUAAUAGCGGAUUAUCUGUUUCUCUUCUGCAUUUUUAUCCGUUUUUGCCUCUUGCAUUUUGACGCUUUGUUGUAAAGUGCGUAUAUUUCAGAGAUUAUUGUGUCUUCUUGGAGAAUUGACCCCCUUGUUAUGUAAUACCCUCUUUUACCCCUGGUAAGUUUCCUUAUUCUAAUGCCUUUUUUGGUCUGAAAUUCACAGAGCUACUCCAGCUUUCUUUUGAUUUGUGCCAGUCCAGUACUUCUUUCCCCACUCUUUUAUUGUAAUCUAUGUGUUUUUGUGUUUAAAUUGGGUUUCUUAUAGACAUCACAUAGCCGGGUAUCGUUUUUCAUCUGCCCUUGCAGUCUCUUCUUGCAGUGGGCGUGUGUAGACCGCUCCCCUUUUAAGUGAUCGCUGACAUAGUUGGAUUUACAUCCACCAUGUUCGUAAAAGUGUUGUACCUGCUGCACUUAUUCUUUGUGUUCUUUUUAAUCUUCCUGUU
Molecule: long non-coding RNA, 1467 nt
Organism: Hyaena hyaena (striped hyena)
Lineage: Eukaryota; Metazoa; Chordata; Mammalia; Carnivora; Hyaenidae
Exons: 4
Source: RefSeq, a predicted model, not a curated record